This 841-nucleotide ribosomal RNA is filed under the name uncultured bacterium. RNAcentral describes it as "bacterial SSU rRNA". It matches the Rfam family "Bacterial small subunit ribosomal RNA", at positions 28 to 830 of the family's 1533-position model. The record is from RNAcentral.
AGUGAACGCUGGCGGCGUAGAUUAGGCAUGCAAGUCGAGCGAUACCCGGAUUGGAGAGUUUGAAGCCGUAAGGCAGAUGACAAUUUGACCUGGGAUAUAGCGGCAGACUGGUGAGUAACACGUGAGUAAUUUACCUUUAAGUUGGGGAUAGCUCCGCGAAAGUGGAGGUAAUACUCGAUGUGCUUAUGGGGGCGCAGGCUUCCACAAGUAAAGAUGGCCGUAAGGUUGGCGCUUAAAGAUGAGCUCGCGUCCUAUCAGCUAGUUGGCAGGGUAACGGCCUACCAAGGCUUUUGACGGGUAGCUGGCCUGAGAGGGUGGUCAGCCACAUGGGGACUGAGACACUGCCCCAACUCCUACGGGAGGCUGCAGUCGAGGAUAUUUAGCAAUGGACGAAAGUCUGACUAUGUGACGCCGCGUGAGGGAUGAAGGUUCUCGGAUUGUAAACCUCUUUCGAUGGGAAAGAAAAUUCCGUUUAACUAACGGAACUGACGGGACCCACAGAAGAAGCCACGGGCAACUCUGUGGCAGCAGCCGCGGUAAUACAGAGGUGGCGAGCGUUACUCGGAUUUAUUGGGUGGUAAAGGCAAGUAAGCGUCCCUACCAGUUAGAAAUGAAAUCCUAAAGCUCAACCUUAAAACUGCUUCUUUAACUGUAGGGAGUGAGACUAAAAGAAGAGAGCGGAAUUCCCCGCGGUAGGGUGAGAUCUGUAGAUUCGGGGAGGAACCCACUGGGCGAAACCGCUCUCUGGUCUGGGUCUGAAGCUAAACCUGCGAAGCUAGGGGAGCAAACGGAGUAAAUACCCUGUAGUCUUGCCGAAACAAAGACACUAGGUGUUGGGGGG